Molecule: ribosomal RNA, 459 nt
Filed under: uncultured Burkholderiales bacterium
Lineage: Bacteria; Pseudomonadati; Pseudomonadota; Betaproteobacteria; Burkholderiales
Description: bacterial SSU rRNA
Rfam family: Bacterial small subunit ribosomal RNA
Source: RNAcentral
ACGGGAGGCAGCAGUGGGGAAUUUUGGACAAUGGGGGCAACCCUGAUCCAGCAAUGCCGCGUGAGUGAAGAAGGCCUUCGGGUUGUAAAGCUCUUUUGUCAGGGAAGAAAAGGUCGUGGCUAAUAUCCACGACUGCUGACGGUACCUGAAGAAUAAGCACCGGCUAACUACGUGCCAGCAGCCGCGGUAAUACGUAGGGUGCAAGCGUUAAUCGGAAUUACUGGGCGUAAAGCGUGCGCAGGCGGUUUCGUAAGUCUGUCGUGAAAUCCCCGGGCUUAACCUGGGAAUGGCGAUGGAGACUGCGAGGCUAGAGUUUGGCAGAGGGGGGUAGAAUUCCACGUGUAGCAGUGAAAUGCGUAGAGAUGUGGAGGAACACCGAUGGCGAAGGCAGCCCCCUGGGUCAAAACUGACGCUCAUGCACGAAAGCGUGGGGAGCAAACAGGAUUAGAUACCCUGGUA